UACGUAGGCAGCGAGCGUUGUUCGGAGUUACAGGGCGUAAAGGGUGUGUAGGCGGUUUUCUAAGUUUGGUGUGAAAUCUCCCGGCUUAACCGGGAGGGUGCGCCGAAAACUGGGAGACUAGAGUGCGGGAUGGGAGAGUAGAAUUCCUGGUGUAGCGGUGAAAUGCGUAGAUAUCAGGAGGAAUACCGGUGGUGCAGACGGCUCUCUGGACCGCAACUGACGCUGAGACACGAAAGCGUGGGUAGCAAACAGG
This 253-nucleotide ribosomal RNA is filed under the name uncultured bacterium. Its description in RNAcentral is "partial 16S ribosomal RNA". It matches the Rfam family "Bacterial small subunit ribosomal RNA", at positions 524 to 776 of the family's 1533-position model. The record is from RNAcentral.